Non-coding RNA from Penaeus vannamei (Pacific white shrimp), 1520 nucleotides. The record is from RefSeq and is a predicted model, not a curated record. Lineage: Eukaryota; Metazoa; Arthropoda; Malacostraca; Decapoda; Penaeidae.
AUACUACUGGAUUGCACAGUCUGGGUUUCAAGAGUUUCAAUACGCACAUGCUGAAAUCUGAAUAUCAUAUUGGACAACUUUACUCGUGUUUAUUGCUGGUGUUGUUCACGGACUCGUCCCUGAACAGCAAGAGAUGGAAAGAAGCGGAGUUCUACUUCAACACCGUGAACCACUGUCUCGAGAACUUCAAAAAGUUAGAUUUAAAAAAAGACAUUCUCCCUUGAGUGAAAAUGGGCCGUAAAAUCGGAGAGAUUUCUGCUGAGGUGAUCGCAUUAGUGCAGAAGGAGCAAGAGAAGAAACAAGACGUGAAAAUUUCGUGUUACAUAGACCAGAUAAUUUCAGCAACUAACACUGACGCCACUCGAAAGCCAUCUGGUGUCAAAGGAUCCAAUGUUAUUUAGACAUUAUAAUCCUGCAAGAAGAUCCGUUAGACGAGUGCAUGGGCAACACAUGACCGCCAGUACCCACACCCAGACUGUGGCAUGACCACCUUGGCCAACCCGAAAUCUACAGCAGACGACGCGGCUGUGAGCGCCAUCUCUGCGUUUGAAAUGGACCCCGGAGCAAUGACGCCAACUCGCUACCUCUUCGGCGCCUUCGGUUGCCAGUCUCUCCGUUCACCAGUUCAGCGCAAAGAGCCGUAUUUGCCAACGCAGCCACCAGCAGCACAUAAUACAGAGAAAUGAACCUGUAAUAAGACUUGUGUAGCCAUGGCACUCUGCUAUUCAGAACACUAUCGUAAUAUAUACAAUUCAGAAUGAUUCACGUUUAUUGCACUAAAGCUAAAAAAUAACUUUCACCUCAGAAUCCUUCAACAGGUAUAAAUGUCAAAGGAUGAACCAAUAUUCGAAGUAUAAUGAUUAAUCAGAAAUACACAUUCGUAUACGCAAUCAUGAAUACACAGACAUGCAUACAGUCAAGCACAAGAGAACACUUGUAUAAGAAAAAAGUUAUUAGUUUUGAAUUGGCAGCCUCAUUAACCGAGUAAGUGAAACAGUAAUGGCUUUCGUACUUCAUGUGUCUCAUAGAAUCUAUGCAAAUUGUAAUUCUACACUUUAUAUGUUAAAAUAAUUGAACCUCAAAUUAAAAUGACUAAGUUUAAUCUAAAACGACUGUUUCACUAAAACAUCUGAAAUUGAAUUUGAAAUACCUAAAGGUUAAUUUUUUAAUAGCUCAAGUUGUUUGAAAUACCUCUGGGUUAAAUAAAAACAUUUGAUAAGUUAAGUUUAAUUUAAAAUAUUUCAUGUACUUUAAAAUACGACGUUUUUAUCAAUACAUGCAAACUAUAUAUGAUGAAUUGAUGCCAAACUGAAACAGCAGAAAUAGAUUUAUAUCAGAUUUAUAAUAAUCAUAAACUGAUUCUUAUUAACUUCAAAAUAUAAUUUUACAAUUUAAAAAUGUAUUGUUAAAAUAAAUGUUUGAUUUAAAUGAUUGCUGUAUAUUUUCUCCAAAAAUAGUACUACCAGUCGUAGGACUAUUCCUUGUAUCUCAGUGUAUUAAUAAAUGAUAAUGAUACCAAA